AAUGAACGUUGGCGGCGUGGAUUAGGCAUGCGAGUCGUACGAGAACCCGCAAGGGGGACAGUGGCGAACGGGGUAGUAAGGCGUAGGUGACGUGCCCUGAGGUCGGGGAUAGCUUAGGGAAACUUAAGGUAAUACCCGAUGAUCCCGGUAGGUUUGAAGACCAUCCGGGCAAAGGUGUGAUUCCACCUCAGGAGCGGCUUGCGUGGUAUUAGCUAGUUGGUGAGGUAACGGCUCACCAAGGCUGCGAUGCCUAGGGGAUGUUAGCGCAUGAUCCCCACCACUGGGACUGAGAUACUGCCCAGACACCUACGGGUGGCUGCAGUCGAGAAUCUUCGGCAAUGGGGGC
Molecule: ribosomal RNA, 346 nt
Filed under: uncultured bacterium
Lineage: Bacteria
Description: bacterial SSU rRNA
Rfam family: Bacterial small subunit ribosomal RNA
Source: RNAcentral